RNAcentral lists this unclassified non-coding RNA (4032 nucleotides) under Leishmania donovani. RNAcentral's name for it is "gene:unknown". The record is from RNAcentral. Lineage: Eukaryota; Euglenozoa; Kinetoplastea; Trypanosomatida; Trypanosomatidae.
UCUCGAGACCCAACCGUGCUCAUUUGCAGCGGGUAAGGAAGGCGGAUUCGCUGGGAAGUGGACCAUUGGAUUAGCGCGUUGCGUGACGAGCGAGAUCUCGCAGCCACAUCAUCCUGCAACAUACGCGCGCGCCUGUCCUGCUCCAGCAGCCGGGUUUGGUGGAGCGGUCGCAUGACAGGGGGCGGUCGCUGGCUGAUCAAGGCUUGCCCGCGUCAUCCGCGCCGCCUGCGCCCCCUCGAUGCAGCGAAAAAGCCGCGCAGAGUGGCGGCCGGGGCUCGCCAGCGGUGACCUCGGGUAAGGCCAGACCCCGAACGUCGAGCUCGACUCGACCUUGCGGGGCACGCAUGCCUCAGAACCACGUUGGUGCCUCGCGGCGCGCCGCCGAUGCUGCCGUCGUAUGCCUCAGCGGCCCAAAUAACAGCGAGAGUGUCGCUGUAUGGACGCGUUUUUUUUCCCACGUUCCCACGCAGUCAUCGGAUGCCUGGGCCACUGCUCACCCGAGGGUGGGGAGCAGCUGAGCCUGAGUUCGAAGAACUCGGCAUCAUUGAGGCACGCGCACACAGAUUUGCGCCACAUUUUCAGUUUCUCCUCGCCCGAAAUUAUCACCACAAAGGGCCGUAGCGCGCUACAGGCGCGGGGAAGACAAGAGUGCACUUUGCCCACGCUGAAGCAACUCUGUGCUGGCUGCUUUUAUGGAUUGAAUCGCUGGAUCCAAAGAGCACCCCGAGAGAACCACGGGCGUUUAUGGCUGGGCCGCCGGCGUCACGGAUGCCUGUGAGCACGCUCUAUGGGCAGCUCGCAGCCGUACUGGCCAACGCCGUGGUGGAAGCAACGACGGGGGGGGGUCAGCGCAAAAGGGUGGCGGCAGGCAUGGUGAGAAACACGCGCCGUUUGUUGCGGGCAUGACCGCCAAAUAUGAAAGGCGACAUUUCGGAGCCUGUGCCGUCUGCCGGCGGCCACGGCGCCGAUGCGCAUUGCCAAGCGAAACGACUGGAAGAUGAGUCAGGACGCCGCUUCCAACCGACUGGCCGAAGCAGGGCUCCACCCAAGACGUCGCGUGGCGGGGCUGGGGCGCUUUUUUGGGGAAUCUCCGUAGCCUGCGCGUGGGCUUACGCGGGGGAGUUCCAACCCCAGACCCGCCAUACUUAGCGAGCGGGCCCAGCCGCCCCUCCCCGCCCCCUCCCCCCCUCUGCGCGGAGGAGCCUCGACAUCCGCUCACCACGCGGGCCCGAGGGACGACCCCUUCUAGCGGACGGGCGAAGCACAUGCCACCGCACAGCGGCGCGGAGGGCUGAGCAGCAGCGGGCCUCCGCAUGGCCGGGAGGGGCGCGCAGCACCGGUGAGACCCAAAAGCGCAAUAAGAAGCGGUGGCGAAUCACCCCCUGAAGGAACCGAACGGGCGAAGUGGCCUCCACGCGGCAAGGCCCGAAUCCCACCCGCGGCCCAUUCGCACGCGCCAAACACACCCUCCCUCGUGCCAAGUCUGUGGCUUUCUCCGCCGUUGCGGGGGGGGGUCGUAGGCCGGCGGCCCCCCCCCCCCCCCCCACGAUGGUGCCCCGCGGCGCACCCGAAAGAAGCAACGGCACCAAGGGCUGGGAGUGUGACGUUGCGAGGAGCAGCGGAUGGCUCUGCCCCCGCAGCCCCUUUAGCGCGCAACAGAAAGGCACACGCCACAUGGCCACCCAAGAUCUCGACAGCACAAAAGAAAAAGCACGGCGGGCUUCUUCGGAGAUGGAGGACAAACCGUGGGGGUGGCGAACGCGCCUUUCAUGCCUCUGGCAUACGGGAGGCUUUUUGCGCGAAGCGAUGCAGGAGUCGGGGCAGCGGCGCGGACUUGCCUCAGCGAGAAAAGGUGCUGCAAGGCGCAUGGCAGACGGCGCACUCUCAGCGGACCAGCCGACGUGCAGGACGGGUCCUACGUAACGCUGCGGCGGUACCUGGGGUAUUGGUCGCCAUCUUACGAUGAAGGACGUGGCCACGCGGGAUGUCGUCGCCGCGGUCCUCCACGGGAGGAGAGGAGGCUACGAGCAAGUGCCCCAGAGCAGCAGGGCCUCGCGAUUAGUGAAACGCAGUUGCUGCGCCUUUUUCGUGAAAAAGGAGGGAAAGUUCCACUGGCGCCGCCGCGAGUGGAGGGAUGCCCCCUGCCCCCCCCCCUCCCCCCAAAAAAAGGCGACAAGGUUGUGCGAUGAAGAGAGAAUUGUGAGGAUGGAAGCGCGGCAUCAUAACUCCGAAAGGUUCUGCAACUGCGCUUAGCGCCCCAUGCUUCGAUAGGCCUUGGCCGCUCUGCGAGCUUCACGCACCUUCAGAAAACUGCAGGAAGGCAGGCGCAUAUCUCACUAGAGUCAUGCAGAUGGGCAGGCUGGAACCCGCGCAAAAGGAUGAAAUUAUGCGCGAGUAAUCUCUUGGGCGUGACGCGCACGGCGCGCAUACGUUUGCGGUCGAGGAAAAGGAAGGCGGACACAGACGCAUAACAGAGUUGAACUUUGAGCGCUGUCUGCACCAGCGAGUGCUGCCCCCCGCCUGACCUGCCCGACUCGGAAAGAAAGCGGGCAUAUCUUGAACAGGCGCAAGUGGCGUUUGCGCGCUGGAUUUCGAUGCGUAUUAUGACGCUGUCCUCUUACCUGGGAAUAGGAGAGCGAAGUGCAUUAUCCGGAGGAGUGGUGAAUACGACCGACUGCGCACAACUCCAACAAGGGGAAGAUGGGGCGUGACGGUGAGCCAGUCGAUUACACGGGUGUGGGGUGAUAUCGAUAUUUUGCGCAGCAUCAUACCAUGUCUUGACAGCAUCGUGAUUGCAUCGCCGCCAGCUAGGCAGGCCGAGCUUCUCGACAUGGUAGGCAAGGGGCUACUACGUAUUGGCGUAGUUAAUCUGCUCACCGCCCCAAAUCGCGAACCACCUCUAGAGGCAGAUGAUACCGGGCUGCUGCGCAUCGGAAAUAAAGGUGGAACUCUCCUUGGGGAGGACUAUGACUGGACGUGGAUCGGAUAGGAUGGUUCGCAGCUCCGUAUGACCCAUAGCGAAGCUGCAGCUUUCAAUGGAAAAGAGGUCGCUCUCACCUCUGCGCGUCACGAAGGCAGAUGGAAAGCUCUGGGGAGAGAGAUGGGUGCGGAUCCCAUAGUCGCUGCACGAAAUCGUACUUGAAGUUAGUCGAUACGUGAUGCAGCGGGACGACCGCGCUGUGCCCGCAAGCGAACCCGCUGCGAAUCCCAUAUCGCCUUUUCCUCUUCUCGUUUUCCCACUGCUUAGUUGGGUCGCCAUCUGCGUUGACGAGCAGUAUAUAGUUGUUGUCCUUGCGCAAGCGCGCAUUCUUAUCUUUUUCAAUCUUUCACCCGCCCCAACUCUAAAGCGGGCUGCCCUCAGGUGCCUGCUGACUCUGCUGCUGCGGCAUUCAAUCACCCGAUCACCACAACCACCCCUGCCGCCGCCGGUUCUUUAGUCGCUCCUGCUCCGUUUCCGCUCUCCGCUCUGCUUUCCUUUUCGUUUCCCUUUUUUUUUGCUUUUGUGUGUGCCGCACUGUUUUCCGUUCCUGCGCUGACGUGCGCGCGUGUGUGUCUCCGCGACAGGCGGGGAGACGGCGCGUCGCCGUCGGCGUAUUUCUUCUUGAGGUGAAGAGCAACACGAAGUGCUUCGUCGAUCCAUCGUGUCGCUCGGCCGCAAAGUGCCGCAAUGAGCGCAUAUCGUAUGCUGCGAGUGCGACUGUGAGAGGGCACCUUUUCGUGUGUCGUUGCCCGCGGGUAUCUUGUGCAGGGCCAAAGGGGACGCUUCUUAUGACCUAAGGCUUCCGUGCAACAAUGGAAAGGCUGGAAGAAGGGGUCUCUCCGCGGCGCUCGUGGGCGGAGGAAUGACGUGCGCUAAAGCCGAAAACGAAAAUAGUUGGUCUUUGUGGCUCUCAGAGACCGGAGUCGACCAACCCGAGCCACACGAGGUCAUUCCACAUCUCCCACCUCUCUCAUCCCCCCGUAUUAACGAAUCCGACGAGCGCCAUUGCAUUUUGUGGCGUACCCAGUGGCUGAUGCGCUUCAACGCACGUU